RNAcentral lists this ribosomal RNA (617 nucleotides) under Prypnini sp. 1 MVD-2017. RNAcentral's name for it is "SSU rRNA". It matches the Rfam family "Eukaryotic small subunit ribosomal RNA", at positions 14 to 610 of the family's 1831-position model. The record is from RNAcentral. Lineage: Eukaryota; Metazoa; Arthropoda; Insecta; Coleoptera; Curculionidae.
CUGCCAGUAGUCAUAUGCUUGUCUCAAAGAUUAAGCCAUGCAUGUCUCAGUACAAGCCAAAUUAAGGUGAAACCGCGAAAGGCUCAUUAAAUCAGUUAUGGUUCCUUAGAUCGUACCCACAAUUACUUGGAUAACUGUGGUAAUUCUAGAGCUAAUACAUGCAAACAGAGCUCCGACCGGAGACGGAAGGAGUGCUUUUAUUAGAUCAAAACCAAUCGGUGGCGAGUUCGCUCGUCAUCGUACAACUUGGUGACUCUGAAUAACUUUACGCUGAUCGCACGGUCUCGCACCGGCGACGCAUCUUUCAAAUGUCUGCCUUAUCAACUGUCGAUGGUAGGUUCUGCGCGUACCAUGGUUGUAACGGGUAACGGGGAAUCAGGGUUCGAUUCCGGAGAGGGAGCCUGAGAAACGGCUACCACAUCCAAGGAAGGCAGCAGGCGCGCAAAUUACCCACUUCCGGCACGGAGAGGUAGUGACGAAAAAUAACGAUACGGGACUCAUCCGAGGCCCCGUAAUCGGAAUGAGUACACUCUAAACCCUUUAACGAGGAUCAAUUGGAGGGCAAGUCUGGUGCCAGCAGCCGCGGUAAUUCCAGCUCCAAUAGCGUAUAUUAAAGU